AAAUUGCAAAAGAAAUUACAAUCUUAAAGAAACCAAAACCUCGUAUUCUCCAAUUAGUCCAAAGAGAAGAGAAAGCCAUCGUGUAGAGUGGAUUUGGAGAUUAAUUGCAGAUUUGGAAUUGAAGAUCUUCUAGAAAAUAUUUUUUUUCUUCGAUAAAGUGAAA
RNAcentral lists this small RNA (163 nucleotides) under Arabidopsis thaliana (thale cress). RNAcentral describes it as "ATSL171140". The record is from RNAcentral. Lineage: Eukaryota; Viridiplantae; Streptophyta; Magnoliopsida; Brassicales; Brassicaceae.